ACGACCUUACUUGAACAGGAUCUGUUCUAUAGGCUCGUACUUCUGAAUCCUUAGCACUAAGGAGACAGGAACCCAUGUCUGGUGGAUGAAUUAUGACCGUUUGAUCAGAGCGUGAUUAACAUCGUUCUCAGCUGGUUCGCUUGUUGGGUUGGUCUUACGGUUGUCUGACAGAUU
Mercurialis annua (annual mercury) is the source of this 174-nucleotide small nucleolar RNA. RefSeq annotates it as small nucleolar RNA U3. Lineage: Eukaryota; Viridiplantae; Streptophyta; Magnoliopsida; Malpighiales; Euphorbiaceae. The record is from RefSeq and is a predicted model, not a curated record. The transcript has a single exon.